RNAcentral lists this ribosomal RNA (684 nucleotides) under fungal sp. K14. RNAcentral's name for it is "SSU rRNA". It matches the Rfam family "Eukaryotic small subunit ribosomal RNA", at positions 389 to 1078 of the family's 1831-position model. Lineage: Eukaryota; Fungi. The record is from RNAcentral.
AAGGAGCCUGAGAAACGGCUACUACAUCCAAGGAAGGCAGCAGGCGCGCAAAUUACCCAAUCCCGACACGGGGAGGUAGUGACAAUAAAUACUGAUACAGGGCUCUUUUGGGUCUUGUAAUCGGAAUGAGUACAAUUUAAAUCCCUUAACGAGGAACAAUUGGAGGGCAAGUCUGGUGCCAGCAGCCGCGGUAAUUCCAGCUCCAAUAGCGUAUAUUAAAGUUGUUGUGGUUAAAAAGCUCGUAGUUGAACCUUGGGCCUGGCUGGCCGGUCCGCCUCACCGCGUGCACUGGUCCGGCCGGGCCUUUCCCUCUGCGGAACCCCAUGCCCUUCACUGGGUGUGGCGGGGAAACAGGACUUUUACUUUGAAAAAAUUAGAGUGCUCAAGGCAGGCCUAUGCUCGAAUACAUUAGCAUGGAAUAAUAGAAUAGGACGUGUGGUUCUAUUUUGUUGGUUUCUAGGACCGCCGUAAUGAUUAAUAGGGACAGUCGGGGGCAUCAGUAUUCAAUUGUCAGAGGUGAAAUUCUUGGAUUUAUUGAAGACUAACUACUGCGAAAGCAUUUGCCAAGGAUGUUUUCAUUAAUCAGGAACGAAAGUUAGGGGAUCGAAGACGAUCAGAUACCGUCGUAGUCUUAACCAUAAACUAUGCCGACUAGGGAUCGGACGAUGUUACAUUUUUGACGCG